GUGUCAGCCGCCGCGGUAAUACGUAGGGUCCGAGCGUUGUCCGGAGUUACUGGGCGUAAAGCGCGCGCAGGCGGCGGUGUUGGCCCGGCGUGAAAGCCCCCGGCUCAACCGGGGAGAGUCGUCGGGGACCGCACCGCUUGAGGGCGGUAGGGGCUGGUGGAAUGCCUGGUGUAGUGGUGAAAUGCGUAGAGAUCAGGCAGAACACCUGGGGCGAAGGCGGCCAGCUGGGCCGUCCCUGACGCUGAGGCGCGAAGGCGUGGGGAGCGAACGGGAUUAGAAACCCUCGUAGUCC
This 292-nucleotide ribosomal RNA is filed under the name uncultured bacterium. Its description in RNAcentral is "partial 16S ribosomal RNA". It matches the Rfam family "Bacterial small subunit ribosomal RNA", at positions 505 to 796 of the family's 1533-position model. The record is from RNAcentral.